UGCCCCAUGGCUUAGCUUGGUUAAAGCGUCCGACUGUUAUCGUUUCAAAAGUGGUUUCAUCGGAAGGUCGUGAGUUCGAGCCUCACUGGGGCAG
Molecule: non-coding RNA, 94 nt
Organism: Steccherinum ochraceum
Lineage: Eukaryota; Fungi; Basidiomycota; Agaricomycetes; Polyporales; Steccherinaceae
Source: the annotation of a GenBank genome assembly